AGAGUUUGAUCCUGGCUCAGGACGAACGCUGGCGGCGUGCUUAACACAUGCAAGUCGAACGGGGUGUUUAUUUCGGUAAACACCAAGUGGCGAACGGGUGAGUAACGCGUAAGCAAUCUACCUUCAAGAUGGGGACAACACUUCGAAAGGGGUGCUAAUACCGAAUGAAUGUAAGAGUAUCGCAUGAGACACUUACUAAAGGAGGCCUCUAUAUAUAAGCUUCCGCUUGAAGAUGAGCUUGCGUCUGAUUAGCUAGUUGGUAAGGGUAAAGGCCUACCAAGGCGACGAUCAGUAGCCGGUCUGAGAGGAUGAACGGCCACAUUGGGACUGAGACACGGCCCAGACUCCUACGGGAGGCAGCAGUGGGGAAUCUUCCGCAAUGGGCGAAAACCUGACGGAGCAACGCCGCGUGAACGAAGAAGGUCCUCGGAUCGUAAAGUUCUGUUGUUAAGGGCGAAGGAUGCUUAUUAUAAUACAGUAAGUAUUUGACGGUACUUAACGAGGAAGCCACGGCUAACUACGUGCCAGCAGCCGCAGUAAUACGUAGGUGGCAAGCGUUGUCCGGAAUUAUUGGGCGUAAAGGGAGCGCAGGCGGGAAAUUAAGCGGAUCUUAAAAGUGCGGGGCUCAACCUCGUGAUGGGGUCCGAACUGAUUUUCUUGAGUGCAGGAGAGGAAAGCGGAAUUCCCAGUGUAGCGGUGAAAUGCGUAGAUAUUGGGAAGAACACCAGUGGCGAAGGCGGCUUUCUGGACUGUAACUGACGCUGAGGCUCGAAAGCUAGGGUAGCGAACGGGAUUAGAUACCCCGGUAGUCCUAGCCGUAAACGAUGGAUA
RNAcentral lists this ribosomal RNA (831 nucleotides) under uncultured bacterium. RNAcentral's name for it is "bacterial SSU rRNA". It matches the Rfam family "Bacterial small subunit ribosomal RNA", at positions 8 to 815 of the family's 1533-position model. The record is from RNAcentral.